RNAcentral lists this ribosomal RNA (848 nucleotides) under uncultured archaeon. RNAcentral's name for it is "bacterial SSU rRNA". It matches the Rfam family "Archaeal small subunit ribosomal RNA", at positions 29 to 882 of the family's 1478-position model. The record is from RNAcentral.
GCUAUUGGAGUUCGAUUAAGCCAUGCGAGUCGAGAGUCUUAGGGACUCGGCGUACCGCUCAGUAACACGUGGGUAACCUGCCCUAUGCUGGGGAAUAACCUCGGGAAACUGAGAAUAAUGCCCCAUAGUCCACAAUGCCUGGAACGGUUUGUGGAUCAAAGCUCCGGCGGCAUAGGAUGGGCCUGCGGCGUAUCAGGUUGUAGGGGGUGUAACGUACCCUCUAGCCAUCAACGCGUACGGGUGUUGGGAGACAUAGCCCGGAGAUGGAUUCUGAGACACGAAUCCAGACCCUACGGGGUGCAGCAGGCGCGAAAACUUGGCAAUGCGAGAAAUCGUGACCAGGGAACUCCAAGUGGCUGGGGUAAGACCCAGUCUUUUCUUGACUCUUCAAAGGUCUUGGAAUAAGGGGUGGGUAAGGACGGUGCCAGCCGCCGCGGUAAUACCGGCGCCUCAAGUGGUAGUCGAUUUUAUUGGGCCUAAAACGUCCGUAGCCUGUUUGGUACAUUCGUGGGUAAAUCAACCAGCUCAACUGGUUGAAUUCUGCGAGCACGGCCAGACUUGGGACCGGGAGAGGUGUGGGGUACGCUCAGGGUAGGGGUAAAAUCCUGUCAUCCUGAGCGGACCACCUGUUGCGAAGGCGCCACACUAGAACGGAUCCGACGGUCAGGGACGAAGCCUAGGGGCACGAACCGGAUUAGAUACCCGGGUAGUCCUAGGUGUAAACGCUGUGGACUUGGUGUUGGGGACUCUCCGAGAUUCCUCAGUGCCGAAGCGAAGGUGAUAAGUCCACUGCCUGGGGAGUACGGUCGCAAGGCUGAAACUUAAAGGAAUUGGCGGGGGAGCACCGC